Non-coding RNA from Misgurnus anguillicaudatus (oriental weatherfish), 3686 nucleotides. The record is from RefSeq and is a predicted model, not a curated record. Lineage: Eukaryota; Metazoa; Chordata; Actinopteri; Cypriniformes; Cobitidae.
GUACAGUCGGGUUAUCCUCCAUGUUUAAUUUAAACUAGUAGGACAAUCUGAAAGCAUUUUGCACCUUCAGGUCAUCCUACCUGUUUAAUUUUUACUAGUGGGACAAUCUGACAGCAUUUGGUACAGUCAUGUUAUCCUCCCUGUUUAAUUUAAACUAGUAGGACAACCUGACAGCAUUUUGUACAGUCAGGUCAUCCUACCUGUUUAAUUGAAAAUAGUAGGACAAUCUGAAAGCAUUUUGCACCUUCAGGUCAUCCUACCUGUUUAAUUUAUACUAGUAGGACAAUCUGAAAGCAUUUUGCACCUUCAGGUCAUCCUACCUGUUUAACUUAUACUAGUAGGACAAUCUGAAAGCAUUUUGCACUUUCAGGUCAUCCUACCUGUUUAAUUUAUGCUAGUAGGACAAUCUGAAAGCAUUUUGCACCUUCAGGUCAUCCUUCCUUUUUAAUUUAUACUAGUAGGACAACCUGACAGCAUUUUGUACAGUCAGGACAUCCUACCUGUUUAAUUCAUACUAGUAGGGCAAUCUGAAAGCAUUUUGCACCUUCAGGUCAUCAUACAUUUUAAUCUAUACUAGUAGGACAACCGGAAAGCAUUUUGCACCUUCAGGUCAUCGUACCUGUUUAAUUUAAACUAAUAGGACAACCUGACAGCAUUUUGCACCUUUAGGUCACCCUACCUGUUUAAUUUAUACUAAUAGCACAAUCGUGGGGAGUGGGCAGAUGCCUCUCAUCUGCACGGGAAAUGAACAACCCCGCCUUCCACGAGUUUCCUGCUGCCUUGCAGCUUGGCCUUGUCUGGUCAAAGGCUAUGGGAGUAAACCCAAAUAGAAAAUCCGGUACGGAAACCCUUAUACUAGUAGGACAAUCUGACAGCAUUUUGUACAGCCAGGUCAUCCUACCUCUUUAAUUUACACUAGUAGGACAACCUGACAGCAUAUUGUACAGUCAGGUCAUCCUAGCUGUUUAAUUUAUAAUAGUAGGACAUCCCGGCAGCAUUUGGUACAGUCGGGUUAUCCUCCAUGUUUAAUUUAAACUAGUAGGACAAUCUGAAAGCAUUUUGCACCUUCAGGUCAUCCUACAUUUUAAAUCUAUACUAGCAGGGCAAGCGAAAGCAUUUUGCACUUUAAGGUCAUCCUAGCUGUUUAAUUUAUACUAGUAGGACAAUCUGACAGCAUUUGGUACAGUCAUGUUAACCUCCGUGUUUAAUUUAAACUAGUAGGACAACCUGAAAGCAUUUUGCACCUUCAGGUUAUCCUACCCGUUUAAUUUAAACUAGUAGGACAACCUGAAAGCUUUUUGCACCUUCAGGUCAUCCUACCUGUUUAAUUUAUACUAGUAGGACAAUCUGAAAGCAUUUUGCACCUUCAGGUCAUCCUACCUGUUUAAUUUAAACUAGUAGGACAACCUGAAAGCUUUUUGCACCUUCAGGUCAUCCUACCUGUUUAAUUUAUACUAGUAGGACAAGCUGAAAGCAUUUUGCACUUUAAGGUCAUCCUUCUUUUUUUAUUUAUACUAGUAGGACAACCUGACAGCAUUUGGUAUUGUCAUGUUAUUCUCCAUUUUUAAUUUAUACUAGUAUGACAAUCUGAAAGCAUUUUGCACCUUCAGGUCAUCCUACCUGUUUAAUUCAAACUAGUAGGACAAUCUGACAGCAUUUGGUACAGUCAUGUUAUCCUCCAUGUUUAAUUUAAACUAGUAGGACAACCUGAAAGCUUUUUGCACCUUCAGGUCAUCCUACCUGUUUAAUUUAUACUAGUAGGACAAGCUGAAAGCAUUUUGCACUUUAAGGUCAUCCUUCUUGUUUAAUUUAUACUAGUAGGACAACCUGACAGCAUUUCCCACCUUCAGGUCAUCCUACCUGUUUAAUUUAUACAUGUAGGACAACCUGAAAGCAUUUUGCACCUUCAGGUCAUCCUACCUGUUUAAUUUAAACUAGUAGGACAAUCUAAAAGCAUUUGCACUUUCAGGUCUUCCUACUUGUUUAAUUUAAACUAGCAGUUAAACAGCGGAUGAUAUAGAUCUGCAGAUGAUGAUUGGUUGAUGAACACAGGUAAUCUCCGAACAUACACUUCUUUAAUGUUCCAGAUAUAACAUGACGAUUAACUUUACUUUACUUGUAGGUAAACAGAUGAUGACGACGACAGAUAACCACACCUUCAGGUCAUCCUACCUCUUCAAUUUAUACUAGUAGGACAAUCUAAAAGCAUUUUGUACAGUCAGGUAAUCCUACCUACUCUGUAGGUGGUACUAUAAUCCCUCCUCUCCUUAUAUACCUAGGGUCUUACUAAACUGGGUGAAUGGUUAUGGUAGGACAAAUAUUGCAGUGUGUAUAUAAAUCUAUUGUCUGUAUUGUAACAUAUUGUGUAGAUAAUUUGCUGUAUUAAAAAAAUAAAGUUGUCCCCCGAAGAGGGGGGGGGGGGUGGCGGGCCAAAAAAGUAGGAUAAUCUGAAAGCAUUUUGCACUUCCAGGUCAUCCUACUUGUUUCAUUUAUACUAGUAGGACAAUCUAACAGCAUUUUGCACCUUCAGGUCAUCCUACAUUUUAAAUCUAUACUAGUAGGGCAAGCGAAAGCAUUUUGCACCUUCAGGUAAUCCUACCUGUUUAACUUAUACUGGUAGGACAAUCUGAAAGCAUUUUGCACUUUCAGGUCAUCCUACCUGUUUAAUUUAUACUAGUAGGACAAUCUGACAGCAUUUUGCACUUUCAGGGCAUUCUACCUGUUUAAUUUAUACUAGUAGGACAACCUGAAAGCAUUUUGCACCUUCAGGUCAUCCUACCUGUUUAAUUUAAACUAGUAGCACAACCUGAAAGCAUUUUGCACCUUCAGGUCAUCCUACCUGUUUAAUUUAAACUAGUAGCACAGACUAAAAGCAUUUUGCAACUUCAGGUCAUCCUACCUGUUUAAUUCAUACUAGUAGGACAAUCUGAAAGCAUUUUGCACCUUCAGGGCAUCCUACCUGUUUAUUUUAAACUAGUAGGACAGUCUGGAAGCUUUUUGCACCUUCAGAUCAUCCUACCUGUUUAUUUUAAACUAGUAGGACAGUCUGGAAGCUUUUUGCACCUUCAGGUCAUCCUACCUGUUUAAUUUAAACUACUAGGACAAUCUAAAAGUCUUUUGCACUUUCAAGUCAUCCUACUUGUUUAAUUUAAACCAGCAGUUAAGCAGCGGAUGAUAUAGAUCUGCAGAAGAUGAUUGGUUGAUGAACACAGGUAAUCUCCGCACAUAUACUUCUUUAAUGUCCCAGAUAUAACAAGACGAUUAACUUUACUUUCCUUGUAGGUAAACAGAUGAUGACGACAACAGAUAACCACACCUUCAGGUCAUCCUACCUCUUCAAAUUUUACUAGUAGGACAAUCUAAAGCAUUUUGUACAGUCAGCAGUUAAACAGCGGAUGAUAUAGAUCUGCAGAUGAUGAUUUGUUGAUGAACACAGGUAAACAGAUGAUGACGACGACAGAUAACCACACCUUCAGGUCAUCCUACCUCUUCAAUUUAUACUAGUAGGACAAUCUAAAAGCAUUUUGUACAGUCAUGUAAUCCUACCUACUCUGUAGGUGGUACUAUAAUCCCUCCUUUCCUUAUAUACCUAGGGUCUUACUAAACUGGGUGAAUGGUUAUGGUAGGACAAAUAUUGCAGUGUGCAUAUAAAUCUAUUGUCUGUAUUGUAACAUAUUGUGUAGAUA